AGCGAACGCUGGCGGCAGGCUUAACACAUGCAAGUCGAACGGGCUUCUUCGGACGUCCGUGGCAGACGGGUGAGUAACACGUGGGAACGUGCCCUUCGGUUCGGAAUAACUCAGGGAAACUUGAGCUAAUACCGGAUACGCCCUUUUGGGGAAAGGUUGACUGCCGAAGGAUCGGCCCGCGUCUGAUUAGCUUGUUGGUGGGGUAACGGCCUACCAAGGCGACGAUCAGUAGCUGGUCUGAGAGGAUGAUCAGCCACACUGGGACUGAGACACGGCCCAGACUCCUACGGGAGGCAGCAGUGGGGAAUAUUGGACAAUGGGCGCAAGCAUGAUCCAGCCAUGCCGCGUGAGUGAUGAAGGCCUUAGGGUUGUAAAGCUCUUUUGUCCGGGACGAUAAUGACGGUACCGGAAGAAUAAGCCCCGGCUAACUUCGUG
This 435-nucleotide ribosomal RNA is filed under the name uncultured bacterium. Its description in RNAcentral is "partial 16S ribosomal RNA". It matches the Rfam family "Bacterial small subunit ribosomal RNA", at positions 29 to 507 of the family's 1533-position model. The record is from RNAcentral.